Molecule: long non-coding RNA, 276 nt
Organism: Pieris napi
Lineage: Eukaryota; Metazoa; Arthropoda; Insecta; Lepidoptera; Pieridae
Exons: 2
Source: RefSeq, a predicted model, not a curated record
CUUUUAUAAACAAAAUAAUAGAAGUUAAAACUUUACAAUAUUAUUGCAAAAGGGACAUUAGAAUGUCAGCAAGGUUGGAACAAUUUUCGAUUUAAGUGGAAUUUACGGAAGGAUUCGAGUUUUGACCUCACAACUAAUCUGCAAAAUGAAGAAGCAACAUAUUUUGUUACCGCUUAGAAGAAACAAUAUAAAUAGUACUGUGGUUUGAUGAAUAAAGAGUGAAAAUAAGGUUGUCUAGAAGUUGAUAAAGUCCAAGGAAUUUAAAAACAAUAGAAA